This 245-nucleotide non-coding RNA is filed under the name gamma proteobacterium IMCC1989. RNAcentral describes it as "Bacterial small subunit ribosomal RNA". It matches the Rfam family "Bacterial small subunit ribosomal RNA", at positions 507 to 751 of the family's 1533-position model. Lineage: Bacteria; Pseudomonadati; Pseudomonadota; Gammaproteobacteria; Alteromonadales. The record is from Rfam by way of RNAcentral.
GCCAGCAGCCGCGGUAAUACGGAGGGUGCAAGCGUUAAUCGGAAUUACUGGGCGUAAAGCGCGCGUAGGCGGUUUGUUAAGCGAGAUGUGAAAGCCCAGGGCUCAACCUUGGAAUUGCAUUUCGAACUGGCAAGCUAGAGUACAGUAGAGGGUGGUGGAAUUUCCAGUGUAGCGGUGAAAUGCGUAGAGAUUGGAAGGAACAUCAGUGGCGAAGGCGACCACCUGGACUGAUACUGACGCUGAGG